GAUCUAUUUUUUUGGGUUUUUCCUUAACAAUUUUUCUUGUGUGUUUUUGUGUGAUUGUGGUAGUUUCUCAUACCUACCCUACCCAAUUAACAAGGAAGAAAUUUUGGAAAAGUGGGGAGUGUUCUUUACCCCAUAGGCUAACUUUUGAGGUUAGAGUAUUGCUUCCUCCAUGGUCCCUAUACCUUUCUACAAUUUUUUUAAUUACAAAAAUACCCUUUAAGCUUUAACCUUUUUACUUUAACCUUAUUUAUUUACCUUUUUUCUGAAACCCUAAAUCAUACCUCCUUUCACUCUUGCGCAACCCCCCUAACUCUCACUCUCUUCUCUUUUUUGCUUUGUUAAGAUCUGUUUCUUCCCACCCUAACUCUGACUUUGCUCUCUUUCUCAUUCAUCUACUCCAGAUCUGUUUGGAUGCAACCCAUUUU
RNAcentral lists this long non-coding RNA (425 nucleotides) under Vigna radiata. RNAcentral describes it as "long non-coding RNA (VRAD_LNC017962)". The record is from RNAcentral. Lineage: Eukaryota; Viridiplantae; Streptophyta; Magnoliopsida; Fabales; Fabaceae.